This 475-nucleotide ribosomal RNA is filed under the name Marinomonas sp. 'Disko Bay 93'. RNAcentral describes it as "bacterial SSU rRNA". It matches the Rfam family "Bacterial small subunit ribosomal RNA", at positions 24 to 490 of the family's 1533-position model. The record is from RNAcentral. Lineage: Bacteria; Pseudomonadati; Pseudomonadota; Gammaproteobacteria; Oceanospirillales; Oceanospirillaceae.
UCAGAUUGAACGCUGGCGGCAGGCUUAACACAUGCAAGUCGAGCGGUAACAGGGGAGCUUGCUCCUGCUGACGAGCGGCGGACGGGUGAGUAACGCGUAGGAAUCUGCCUAGUAGAGGGGGACAACAUGUGGAAACGCAUGCUAAUACCGCAUACGCCCUAAGGGGGAAAGGAGGGGACUCUUCGGAGCCUUCCGCUAUUAGAUGAGCCUGCGUGAGAUUAGCUAGUUGGUAGGGUAAAGGCCUACCAAGGCGACGAUCUCUAACUGGUCUGAGAGGAUGACCAGUCACACUGGGACUGAGACACGGCCCAGACUCCUACGGGAGGCAGCAGUGGGGAAUAUUGGACAAUGGGCGCAAGCCUGAUCCAGCCAUGCCGCGUGUGUGAAGAAGGCCUUAGGGUUGUAAAGCACUUUCAGGGGUGAGGAAGGGUAAUGGAUUAAUACUUCAUUACUUUGACGUUAGCCCCAGAAGAAG